GAAAUGCGAUACUUGGUGUGAAUUGCAGAAUUCCGUGAAUCAUCGAAUCUUUGAACGCACAUUGCGCCCUCUGGUAUUCAGCGGGUAUCCCUACCUGAUCCGAGGUCAACGGAUAAAGAGAGUUCAAAAGUAGGCGAGGCGUCGGUCCGCACCGCUGAACGUGUGACGAAGGUCCCCAUACGUUCGGGCUGAUCGGAUUACCGCGACGCCGCCACUGCAUUUCGGGCCCGUCCCCCGGAGCCGGGGGACGCGGAGGCCCAUCACACAAGCCGUGCUUGAGGGGUU
RNAcentral lists this unclassified non-coding RNA (285 nucleotides) under uncultured Ascomycota. RNAcentral's name for it is "sequence contains ITS1". The stretch from base 1 to 99 matches the Rfam family "5.8S ribosomal RNA", at positions 50 to 154 of the family's 154-position model. The record is from RNAcentral. Lineage: Eukaryota; Fungi; Ascomycota.